UGAGGAAUAUUGGGCAAUGGACGAAAGUCUGACCCAGCAACGCCGCGUGGAGGAUGAAUGCCGUAAGGUUGUAAACUCCUUUUGAAGGGGACGAAAAAUUCCGUUAACAUCGGAACUUGACUGUACCCUUAGAAGAAGCCCCGGCUAACUACGUGCCAGCAGCCGCGGUAAUACGUAGGGGGCAAGCGUUGUCCGGAUUUACUGGGUGUAAAGGGCGCGUAGGCGGACUUGUAAGUCAAGGGUGAAAUCUCCCGGCUUAACCGGGAAACUGCCUUUGAUACUGCAAGUCUUGAGUUCGGAAGAGAGUAGCGGAAUUCCAGGUGUAGUGGUGAAAUACGUAGAUAUCUGGAAGAACACCAGUGGCGAAGGCGGCUACUUGGUCCGUAACUGACGCUGAGGC
Molecule: ribosomal RNA, 400 nt
Filed under: uncultured bacterium
Lineage: Bacteria
Description: bacterial SSU rRNA
Rfam family: Bacterial small subunit ribosomal RNA
Source: RNAcentral